Tigriopus californicus is the source of this 526-nucleotide long non-coding RNA. RefSeq lists it as uncharacterized. The record is from RefSeq and is a predicted model, not a curated record. The transcript is spliced from 3 exons. Lineage: Eukaryota; Metazoa; Arthropoda; Copepoda; Harpacticoida; Harpacticidae.
UGUUCUAUCUUAAAAGCCAACACAGUUGGUUUGCAAAGUGCAAUUUCUCCCACCUUUUACUUUGCCGUUGAUAUUGGCAACGUAAUCUAGUUACUAUAGAAAGCCUCAAGGCAGCACUAUAGUGUACGUCAACCAAUUUGGACUAAGACCCAUAAUUCAAUUCUAGUCACCUCAGUCAGAUCUCAAAGAAGUCUUCCCAAUGUUUCAAUAUGGGAUACAUUUCAUACGACAAGUAACAAGAUUGAUGACAAUAUAUUCAUUUUGCUUCAUUGCUUUGAUAGGCCUCUAUUACAAGUUUUUCAAUCUUGGACCUUCUCUUGGACCAGCGGGCGGAUUUUAUUCAUUCAUGGAAUUCAGACAUUUGACGUUAAACAUUACAAAUACUUCAGCUCAAGGUCAUGAAGCCAGAGGAGAAAUUGCAAAUUCAUCUCUAAACAUUUGCCCUCUUCUACCACCUUCACUCGUGGGACCAAUAAAUGUAAGCGAAGAAGUUUACGACAUGAACUUCAUUGAAAGGAACGUGGGG